AGCGCUUGGAGCGCCAACAAAAAAGAGAGAGCGGUGCGAUAUUUGUUCUUAUCAGCUUGAUAUCUGAUACGGAUUCUGUUGGACCGACAAUAUUAGACUUACUUUUGCAAGUUGGCGGUGUGCUUGAAGCAUGCUUCGGCUCGGCCGCAGGUCGGCCCGGUAUUGUACUACAUAUCUCCAGGAAUCCACCUACGAUUU
Small nuclear RNA from Dermacentor andersoni, 198 nucleotides. RefSeq annotates it as U2 spliceosomal RNA. Lineage: Eukaryota; Metazoa; Arthropoda; Arachnida; Ixodida; Ixodidae. The record is from RefSeq and is a predicted model, not a curated record.